ACGCUGGCGGCGUGCCUAAUACAUGCAAGUCGAACGCACAGCGAAAGGUGCUUGCACCUUUCAAGUGAGUGGCGAACGGGUGAGUAACACGUGGACAACCUGCCUCAAGGCUGGGGAUAACAUUUGGAAACAGAUGCUAAUACCGAAUAAAACUUAGUGUCGCAUGACACAAAGUUAAAAGGCGCUUCGGCGUCACCUAGAGAUGGAUCCGCGGUGCAUUAGUUAGUUGGUGGGGUAAAGGCCUACCAAGACAAUGAUGCAUAGCCGAGUUGAGAGACUGAUCGGCCACAUUGGGACUGAGACACGGCCCAAACUCCUACGGGAGGCUGCAGUAGGGAAUCUUCCACAAUGGGCGAAAGCCUGAUGGAGCAACGCCGCGUGUGUGAUGAAGGCUUUCGGGUCGUAAAGCACUGUUGUAUGGGAAGAACAGCUAGAAUAGGAAAUGAUUUUAGUUUGACGGUACCAUACCAGAAAGGGACGGCUAAAUACGUGCCAGCAGCCGCGGUGAUACGUAUGUCCCGAGCGUUAUCCGGAUUUAUUGGGCGUAAAGCGAGCGCAGACGGUUUAUUAAGUCUGAUGUGAAAGCCCGGAGCUCAACUCCGGAAUGGCAUUGGAAACUGGUUAACUUGAGUGCAGUAGAGGUAAGUGGAACUCCAUGUGUAGCGGUGAAAUGCGUAGAUAUAUGGAAGAACACCAGUGGCGAAGGCGGCUUACUGGACUGCAACCGACGUUGAGGCUCGAAAGUGUGGGUAGCAAAC
Molecule: ribosomal RNA, 758 nt
Filed under: uncultured bacterium
Lineage: Bacteria
Description: bacterial SSU rRNA
Rfam family: Bacterial small subunit ribosomal RNA
Source: RNAcentral